RNAcentral lists this ribosomal RNA (468 nucleotides) under uncultured bacterium. Its description in RNAcentral is "partial 16S ribosomal RNA". It matches the Rfam family "Bacterial small subunit ribosomal RNA", at positions 28 to 507 of the family's 1533-position model. The record is from RNAcentral.
GACGAACGCUGGCGGCGUGCUUAACACAUGCAAGUCGAACGGAAAGGCCAUGCUUUUGUUGGGUGCUCGAGUGGCGCAGGGGGGAGUAAAACGCGUGUAAACUGCCCUUGACUUUGGGAUAAAUCUAGGAAACUGGGGCUAAUACCGGAUAGGAUCUCCUGCUGCACGGUGGGGGAUGGAAAGAUUCGGUGUUUGUGGAUAGACUCGCGGCUUAUCCGCUUGUUUGUGGGGUAGGGGCUUACCAAGGCUUUGACGGGUAGGCGGCGUGAGAGGGUGGACGGCCACAUUGGGACUGAGAUAGGGCCCAGACUCCUACGGUACGCAGUAGUGGAGAAUAUUGCGCAGUGACCCGAAGCCUGAUACAGAAACGCCGCGUUCGGGAUGACGGCCUUCGGGUUAAGAACCGCUUUCGCCGGUGCCGAAGCGUGAGUGACGGUAAUUAGUAAGGAAGCACCGGCUAACUACGUG